CCUACGGGAGGCAGCAGCUAGGAAUAUUGGGCAAUGGGCGAAAGCCUGACCCAGCAACACCGCGUGAAGGACGACGGCCUUCGGGUUGUAAACUUCUUUUCGAGGGAAUGAGAAAGGACAGUACCCUCGGAAUAAGGCCCGGCUAACUACGUGCCAGCAGCCGCGGUAAUACGUAGGGGCCAAGCGUUAUCCGGAUUUACUGGGCGUAAAGCGCAUGUAGGCGGUCGAUCAAGUCGGAUGUGAAAGCUCCUGGCUUAACUGGGAGAGGUCAUUCGAAACUAGUCGGCUGGAGGGUGGUAGAGGAGAGCGGAAUUCCAGGUGUAGCGGUGAAAUGCGUAGAUAUCUGGAGGAACACCAGUGGCGAAAGCGGCUCUCUGGACCAUUCCUGACGCUGAGAUGCGAAAGCCAGGGGAGAGAACGGGAUUAGAAACCCCGGUAUUCCUGGCCGUAAACGAUGUCAACUAGGCGUAGGAGGUUAUUAACCCCUUCUGUGCUGUAGCUAACGCGUUAAGUUGACCGCCUGGGGACUACGGCCGCAAGGCUAAAACUCAAAUGAAUUGACGG
This 564-nucleotide ribosomal RNA is filed under the name uncultured bacterium. Its description in RNAcentral is "bacterial SSU rRNA". It matches the Rfam family "Bacterial small subunit ribosomal RNA", at positions 338 to 916 of the family's 1533-position model. The record is from RNAcentral.